AUUGAACGCUGGCGGCAGGCCUAACACAUGCAAGUCGAACGGUAACAGGAAGAACCUUGCUUCUUUGCUGACGCGUGGCGGACGGGUGAGUAAUGUCUGGGAAACUGCCUGAUGGAGGGGGAUAACUACUGGAAACGGUAGCUAAUACCGCAUAACGUCGCAAGACCAAAGAGGGGGACCUUCGGGCCUCUUGCCAUCGGAUGUGCCCAGACGGGAUUAGCCAGUAGGUGGGGUAACGGCUCACCUAGGCGACGAUCCCUAGCUGGUCUGAGAGGAUGACCGGCCACACUGGAACUGAGACACGGUCCAGACUCCUACGGGAGGCAGCAGUGGGGAAUAUUGCACAAUGGGCGCAAGCCUGAUGCAGCCAUGCCGCGUGUAUGAAGAAGGCCUUCGGGUUGUAAAGUACUUUCAGCGGGGAGGAAGGGAGUAAAGUUAAUACCUUUACUCAUUGACGUUACCCGCAGAAGAAGCACCGGCUAACUCCGUG
This 490-nucleotide ribosomal RNA is filed under the name uncultured bacterium. RNAcentral describes it as "partial 16S ribosomal RNA". It matches the Rfam family "Bacterial small subunit ribosomal RNA", at positions 30 to 507 of the family's 1533-position model. The record is from RNAcentral.